CCGAUCUCCGGUGCAGAGGUGCUGCCGAAGCAAGUCAGUAAUCGGACGCCCGUGACGGUCCCUCCGCCGUCGAAGCAACGCAAGGAUCAGACGGUCCGCACGGUCUCCGGUGGAGCGGUGCUGCCGACGCAAGUUGGGGGUCGGACGCCCGUGUCAGUCCCUCCGUCGUCGCCCAACCAACUUGGAAAUCGGAGGGUCAGCACCGUCUCCGCUGGAGAGGUGCCGCCGAAGCAUGCUGGGAAUCGGUCGCCCUUGUCGGCCCAGCUGCCGCCAAAGCAACGCAGGGAUGAUCGGACGGUCUCCACGCUCUCCCAUGGAGAGGUGCUGCGGAAGCAAGUCGGGGACCGGACGCCCGUGUCGGUCCAUCCGGCGCCGAAGCAACGCAGGACUCAGACGGUCGGCCAGGUCUCCGGCAGACAACCCUUGCCGCAGCUGCACACCACACAACAAGGCAGACCGGCCAGCUCCUCGAAACCUAGUGCAUGUACGGCUCUUCGUGGCAACACUAGUGCGCAAGCUCGUAAGCCAUGUGCUGCUGCAACAAAAACUGUUGUACAAGUUAAGUCGAAGAAGAACAAAGAUAUAGAAGAAGGGGAGGACGAAAUCCGAAGGCUGAACGAAUUGGGAUUGGGAGAUAAUGUCAGCAAGAAAGAUUAUCGUGUUUAUCUCAACCAGUUGCCUGGCAGGCCUGAUGUCGAUAUUUCCACUAAGCUGGAUGCUGUGCAGCUCAAGGAGCUCAAUGUUCGCCAUGCGUUGUAUCGCCUCAAGUAUUAUCAGCUGUCACAAAACGUGCCUGAGGAUAAGCUUUGCUAUGAUAAAUUGAAAGAGGACUACCCCCCUAGCCGUCUUGAGGAGGAGAGAUUCUUUAAGUGCUAUGAGGAAGAUGGCAAAUUAGAUUGGUCUUUCCACACUGAUUACUGCAAGCUUGCUGGCCUGGAGGACUACCAACGGCUGGUCCCUCAAAAUUAUGGUGGUUAUGACUAUGUUCGUUGGGAUGAAUACCACAAUGAAUUUCAUAGCUAUGAGAUUGAACAAGAAUAUGUCAAGUAUUGUGAAGAAUUGUCCAAGAAACUUAAGUGGAUGGAAGCUUAUGUGCUAAAAGAACAAACAUCACUUAUGCGGGGAAUGAUUUUGACCAGAGGAACUUACCAAGCAAUGAAGAUCGCCACUGACUUCUCAAAGAUACAUGCGAACUUAGCCUUUUCUGGCUUCUAUGAGUGGUUCAAGAGCAUGGCUUUUGAUGUUACGAACUACAAAGAGUUCGAUGUACUCUAUUAUGAGAUUUGGCAGAGGUGCAAUCAGGAGAAGAAAUUCAGAGAUGCUUUGGAUGAGGUGUAUGAACUUAACAGGUUCCCAUUGAGCCAAAACAGAAUGAGAUGUGCACUGGAGAAUGACACAUUCUGCUCGGAAUUCGAAGAGGAGUUUCUUGGUUUCACAGCUUGCCUCAAGGAAUUUGCAGAGGACAAAAGCAAGAUCACUGAGGAUAAAGCCCUGGAGUUGAUUGCAGAGGCACUUAGAAAGGAGACGCCGAAACCAAAGUUCUAUGAGGAUUAUUGUAGGAAGAAGAUAGAUAUUGCUCAAGCUAUUGGAAUAAUUCCCAGCGUACCGGCUUAA
Molecule: ribosomal RNA, 1614 nt
Filed under: Triticum aestivum (bread wheat)
Lineage: Eukaryota; Viridiplantae; Streptophyta; Magnoliopsida; Poales; Poaceae
Description: partial small subunit ribosomal RNA
Source: RNAcentral